UUGCUCCUUGACCUGAGAAUACAGCUCAGGAGCAAGUGUCUUCCCCUGAGGUCUCAUGGGUGGAUCUGCCUGAAGUCCCUUCCUGUGGUACAGCGAUAAGACAUCUGUCUUAUUGAAUAACAUCAAUCAAGCCUUAACCAUGCCAUGUCAGAAAGCGUGGGUUGUGACUGACUCAUCAACACAUCUUGCGCAGAGUUUGCUUCUCCAGUCCCAAGGAGUGCCUAGAUCAGGGAUCUACAUCAGGACCCUUUGUUGCAAGGUGCUGUACACACAAACAAUUUUUAUUUCUGUAUGAUACAAGAGGGCUCCUUCAAGGACCUGGGUCACCGAAUUGGCAUUUGGACAGCUUGCAUAAAAGCCUUCAGAGGAUUGCCUCAUUUUCCUCACAGUGGUGUGACAGCAGGCAUAGCUGAGCUUCAAGAGUCUCCUGUGAACAGCGGGAUUUGAAUCGGUGACUGUCAGCAUCCAAUCUUAUGAGGUCAGAGUUACUGGAAUGGGCAGUCCAGUAGGUGCUUCUGCUCUGUGGACAGAGGUGACAUGAAACACUUGGCCACGAGACCAUCCUUCUGCCUUUAAAAUGUAUUGAAUACCUUCGCGAUGGCACUGGACUGCAAUGCAGGAGACCUGGGUCAAAUUUCUAGCUCAUCCAUGGAGUGAUGUGGAAAAAGGCCACCGUGAGGAAUGUGUACUUUUGAACAUGACCGAGAUAGUGUUUCCAGGGGAAAAAAAUAAAGCUAAGGUACAAAACUAAAUUUAUAUGCAAUAACAUUAUUAUAUUCUGCUUCUUUUAAGCAGACUCUUCUGGAAUUUAUGUACAGUACAUGACAGAUUUUAAAACUAUGUAUACCACAGUUAGAGCAAGACCUUUAAUACUCUAGUUUUAAGACAGUUUUGUUAAGGAUUCUUUUAAAGCUUUUAACAGUUAGAUACAGUACAUAAAGAUGCUGGGGUUUUUAAACCAAUGCAAAGACUGACCAACUUAAAAAUCCGCUGUCACCACAUGGUCUUGCACCCCAUGCUGUCGUUUUUGCACUGAGAUGCAGGGCAAUGCUAAACAAACAGUCCUCCAUGUUUCGUAAGUGCUAGACCCGAUUGUGGUAGAUUAACUGGGUAAGGGAGUUUUACAAGAGAGGAUUAAGACUGUAUGUCACUGAGACCAAGAAUCCAAACAUGACAUUCAUAUUCGUCCAUGGCCAGCACAGAUUCAUAACACAAAUUCCACUGAUAGCUUUUAAUGGAUCUAUCCUAAAGAUAUCACCACCUAUCAGCCUCAUCCUAUUAAUAAGGUUAAACUAUUAGAGUUGGUUUUAAACUGCAAGGGUGUUUGAGCUACAGUUCGUUGAUAAUUUGGUGUCUGCUGAAGAACUGACUGUUGUAAAAAGCCUAGGUUUAUGAUUUCCCUUUUUUUUGGUGGGGAAGAGAAGAGAGAUGGAGAAAUUUCAAAGGCAGAAAGCUGGGACAUUGAACACAGAAGCCUAGUUCCAUGCAAAUUGGUUUGAGAGGGAUAGAAAAUAUGAACAACUAUAUCUAAAACCAGUUUCUAAUUGUUAUUAAAAUCAGCCUACAGUACAUUUGGAUGGGUGUAUUAACUCUCCUAGAAAAAGAGGCUUCUAUAUUGGUCGUGUUUAGAUCUCCUACACACCCAUUCUCUCUCCCCUAAGGAAUUAUGCACUUUCUGAAGAGGUACGUUUCACAUGGGAUGGAAUAGACCCCUCACCUCGGAGGCUCCUAAAAUAGAUUUUUAGCUUUUGAGGCUCAAUGAUGCGUCUCCUGUUGAAGUCUGCUCUGGGGUGCGUUUGAGAGCAGUGGUCUGUUUGCAGCAGAUGGAAGAGGCUGGCCAUGUUGGGUCCUAUCUUCUCCAUCAAACUGUCUUUGAUGGUGCCGACAGUCUCUUCAUCACAUUCCAGUAAGCUUCUCACGAGCUUGUUGUAAUACCUGGAUAUAUGAACAAGACAGUUACUGCCCAUUAUAUUCUUGUUCUCCCACGGGAGAGAGAGAGAGAGUUGAUGCCAAGCUAGAACAAAUCCAUUUGAAAGAGAGAAUUGAAAUUGUAAGCUAUUACUGCAAGGGGCUGUGGGCCCAGGUCCUGCUCUGUAACAGCUUCAUAGCCAAUACACAAGUUAUAACGUUAGCAUCAACUUACAUAGAUUGCGCUCUAUCCCAGAGACCAUGUACGCAUCUCCAUCUUUGAUUCAUGGAGUUACAGUACAUGUGUUUCUGGGACAAAAUUCUAGUUUACUAGUCCUAGCUGUGCUCCUGUAAAGUUUCUGAACGCUAAAUACACACAUUUGGGUUCUAAUUACUGCUCAAAUUAGAAAUGAUACUCUGAUUUUUUUGGCAAGUCAGUGUUGGACUAGGAGCAAAGUUAUCAAAAAGGUCACAGGUUUAUCAGGACUUAUUCUCUAGUAAAGAACCAUCAAAAUUGUAAACUGCCUUAUUUCAUCCCCACAAACAAGGGUAAUAUCAAGACCAUAAAAUAAUGGACAGAAAUAAGUUAUAGACCCUUAUGCACACUAGAGUAUAAAUUCCCCUAUGCAAAGGUUAUUCCCUAAUCAUUUGCCUUAGGGCUUUUUUUUUUUUUUUUGCAGCUUCCUCGGAAAUAUCUGGCACUGAGCACUAUGUCCACUCCUCUAAAGGAAUCUCUAUAUGCUUCUUAGGACUCUUCUAUGGAGAUUUGACACCAACCCUUUCCCCCCUUCUAUGUAGUCUUUAGAAAGGGCUGAAGAAGAAAACGAGUAGCUACAGCAUGUCUAGAGGCAGAAGGGCCUUCCUCCUUCACGGCUACUGACUGGAGAUUAAAUCAGAGGAAGCUGCAUGACCCUUUAACUACUUCCUGUUGGAAUUCCGUGCCAACUGGCACAUUCUUAUUUUGUGUCUAUGUUGGGACUUGGGCUGGGAAAGCAGGAUGCUUUAGGAGAACUUAGUGUAAACUAUUAGCUGGGAAAUCCUGCUUCUUUUGUUACUCAACAUGUUACAAUAUCCUUUUGCUUCACCGCUAGUCAAAGGCUGUGUGUGGAAGUUUCCUUUACCACAUCUUAUCCCAAGACAGGUCUCUUAAGGAACAGCGACCCUAUCCUAGGGCUAGAUUCUCCACUGCUUUGCACCUUGGGGCGAGACUUGCACUCUGAAAUGGUAGAACAGGUGUAAGUGACCACACAAGGUGCAAAGAUGUAGAGAGAGUCAAGUCACUUGAACUCUUCAUGGGUGCAAAUUAAACAUUUAUACCGAAGAGAUUAUAAAAUUAAGGCCUUGUCUACUAUGUACGCCUGUUACUUGAUACAACACCCCGACCCUUGGGUAGAUGUAGUCAGACAGGUGUUUAUAGCUUACUCCUAUAUAGGAAAGGGAAUAAGUUCCACAGUAGGGAUUGUACUAGUAUAACUAUACUGGUAAAACCCUCCCCCUCCAAGCCAAAAUAAUUAUUACAUUGCAGACAUACCCACGCUAGCUUUACCCUGCCUGUUCCUUGAGAUGACAGUAACCUUCCAUUUUAUCAGGAGUAGGGAAGACUCAGAAUCCUACAACCUAAUGGGUCAUGACAACAUAAAGUCAUGGAAGAGCCAUUUAGCUGGUGCCCUUUUUAAAAGGAAAGCAUUCUCAGUUAUUUAUAUUAAACACAGAAUGAGACUGUUUCAGCAAAGAGAGGUGGAGUUGCCUUGGGAGGAAAUUAAGCUGCAAUAUUCACUAAGAGACGUUCAACAUAAGAAUUAAAGGGACACUCAACUACAUGUCUGAAAAUGUUGCAUCUAACAGCCAUCACUAGAAGUAUAACAAAGUUAACCAAAGAAUUCUCAGCUUUAAGUUCGCUUUGUGCCUUUCAGAGCUCUUAGUCUAGCUGGUUUCCCUCAAUGUACAGAACUUUAUAAACAUGAGCAGGGGGCCAGAAAGUACUAUUUAAAGUGAGCUGUAUCUGGAACAUGUAAAAAUUAAAAGAUAGAGUCAGGUUGAUAGCAUCCUUUUAAAUGUGCUUCAUUCUGUGUUCUUGUAUGUUUCAUGUAAGGAAACAGCCACAUACCUGUUUGAGAAGUGAUUUGGAAACUGGACAACUUCAGUGAUUGCUUCAGGAUUACGCUUUGCAAUGCUGCACAUGUCCAGUUUGCUGUAACAUUCCUCCUGCACCUCUGAGAUCAUUCUUUGGAAAGUGGAACACCUCCGAAUGGCAAGGAAAACCUUGGAAGUAACUCCGUUUGCAAUGCAUUUCAGGCUCUCUUUCACAAAGGCUUUUCCCUGCAAAUUUAGAAGCAGCAGCAUCUUAAUGUGCAACGGCAUAAGUCGGUCAUACAAUGUUAACCAAUAUCCUGGUUUUGCUAAUUGCUGCUAGGUAUGUGUCAAAAGCUUACUCAGCAAUAAAGAAACCCAUUUACAGUCAA
Caretta caretta (loggerhead turtle) is the source of this 4370-nucleotide non-coding RNA. Lineage: Eukaryota; Metazoa; Chordata; Testudines; Cheloniidae. The record is from RefSeq and is a predicted model, not a curated record.